Molecule: ribosomal RNA, 980 nt
Filed under: fungal endophyte
Lineage: Eukaryota; Fungi
Description: eukaryotic LSU rRNA
Rfam family: 5.8S ribosomal RNA (bases 169-322)
Source: RNAcentral
GAAGCAAUGUCUCUUUGAGGUUUCAGUAAGUCGGGGGCUGUAAAGCUCUCGUCUACACCCAUGUCUUUUGCGUACUCUUGUUUCCUCGGUGGCGCAAGCUGCCGAUUGGACAAACCAAAACCUUUUUUGUAAUUGCAAUCAGCGUCUGAAAAUAAUCUAAUUAUUUACAACUUUCAACAACGGAUCUCUUGGUUCUGGCAUCGAUGAAGAACGCAGCGAAAUGCGAUAAGUAGUGUGAAUUGCAGAAUUCAGUGAAUCUACGAAUCUUUGAACGCACAUUGCGCCCCUUGGUAUUCCAUGGGGCAUGCCUGUUCGAGCGUCAUUUGUACCCUCAAGCUUUGCUUGGUGUUGGGCGUCUUGUCGUAUUACGACUCGCCUUAAAUCUAUUGGCAGCCGGCACUUUGGCCUAGGAGCGCAGCACAUUUUGCGAUCGUAGCGGGUUGUACUGGCGUCCAUCAAGAACAUUUACCACGUUUGACCUCGGAUCAGGUAGGGAUACCCGCUGAACUUAAGCAUAUCAAUAGCCGGAGGAGGAUCAUUAUCAAAAGUCAAGUCGGGGGCUGUAAAGCUCUGUCUCACAUGUCUUUUGGUACUCUUGUUUCUGGUGGCCAAGCGCGAUUGGACAACAAAACUUUUUUGUAAUUGCAAUCGGUCUGAAAAUAAUCUAAUUAUUUAAACUUUAAAGGAUCUCUUGGUUCGGCAUCAGAAAAGACAAAAUGCAUAAGUGUGUGAAUUGAGAAAUUCGUGAAAUCAUCAAUCUUGAACGCAUGCUUGGUAUUCAGGGGGCAUGCGUUGCAGCUCUUUUACUACACUUUGCUUGGUGUUGGGGCGUCUUGUCUAUUACACUCUUACAAUCUAUUGAAAGCGCUCUGGCAGAGCGACAUUUUGCAAUUAAGCAUUGGUCUGGCUUAGAAAAUUACGUUGAACUCGAUCAGGGAGGGGACCCUCGACUAAUCAUAUUCAGGGAGAAGAAAAGAUUC